UAGCAAGGUAGUUGAUCUUGAUCCUAAACAUGUUGCCCUCAAGGAUCCAUACUUCAAACCCUGGAUCCCUGGCUGACAAUGAAACAUCUUAAAUCCAAUCCUCUCCAGAUAGAUAUACAUCAAGAAUGGAUUAGUGCUUGUUUCUGUUCCCACAGCACAGUAGCAGGCACCUGGCAAAAUGAUAUUGAGAAUAAAAAUCAUACUUCAUUUUCAUAAAUGAUUUCUUGAUAUUCCAUUUCAUGAGGCCUCCAUAUCUACUUCUAAAACCAAGAUGACAGACAGGAUGCAGACACUGAAAUGAUAAACAGCUGAACUAAAACCUUCCCAAGGGUGUGGGGUAGAAUACCACAAAAAGGGUCCAAUUCCCACCCCAACAAUGUCUUCCAUACAGUUUUGCACCUGACAAGAAUAGACCCACAGAGAGCUGAAUCUGGCAAGGUUUAUGUUGAUAUUUAAUCCCCUAAUUCCAAGAACAGUUGUGUAAACCCAUAAAAAGACAUUUUUGUCCCCUUUGGACAAACACGAGUGAUUUUAGUCAUUUUAGUGCUUUGAAAAAUACUGCUACAGUCUGAAUGCUUGUGUCCCUCCAAACCUCAUGUGUUGAAAUCCUAACCCCCAAGGUGAUGGUACUCUGGGAGAUGAUUAGGUCAUAAGGGAUAAAGCCUUCAUGUAGUGCCCCUGUAAAGGAGGCCCAGAUAACUCCCCUGCCUCCUGUGCCAUGUGAGGAUACAUGAAAAGGUUGGCAGCCUGCAACCCAGAAGUGGGCCCUCACUGGAAACCAACCAUGCUGGCACCUUGAUCUUAGACUUCCAGCCUCCAGAAUUUGGUGAGCCAAGAGUGGAGCCAAACCCUGACUGGUCAGUAGGAAAAGGUAACGAUAUGCGUGGAUCAAAAAGAAGCAAGUGGAACUGUGAACCAGAGGCGUGGACUCCUGAAGCUGAAACGCAGGUCCUCCUAGGCAUCUCCCCUGAGCCUCUGCUCAGCUCCUUCACGUAGCAUUAUGGUUAAGAGUGUGGCCAAAGACUCGUACUGCUUGGACCACCAUCCUGGCUCUAAGUUCACCGGAUGGCUGGGCGAGGCAUCUGACCUCCAGAGCCCUCAAUUUCCUCAAUGGUAAAUUGUACAUAAUAAUGUGCCUUCCUCACUCAGUUGCCAGGAUUAAAUGAAAGGAUUCGUUUAAAGUGCAUAAUGCAAUGCUUGAUAUAUUUUUAAGUCCCAAUUAAUGUUAUUU
RNAcentral lists this long non-coding RNA (1231 nucleotides) under Mustela putorius furo (domestic ferret). RNAcentral describes it as "lncRNA (ENSMPUG00000027938.1)". The record is from RNAcentral. Lineage: Eukaryota; Metazoa; Chordata; Mammalia; Carnivora; Mustelidae.